Non-coding RNA from Bemisia tabaci, 420 nucleotides. NCBI's taxonomy places the organism in Eukaryota, Metazoa, Arthropoda, Insecta, Hemiptera, Aleyrodidae. The record is from RefSeq and is a predicted model, not a curated record.
UCCCAGGCGUGCGGAUAUUUCCGCGCCGCGCGGACAUUCCCUAUACCCGCGCGGACAGCGUACGGACAAAAACCUUAUGGGAAAAUUUUUCCCUAUCUUAUUUUGUCCGUACGCUCGCCCGGCCCUGUCCGUGCGUCUGUUUAUCCGCUUUUCUUUGCAAUAUUUAUUACUUUUGCGUAAGUUAUUGAUACAAUGAUGUUUAGUAUGAAAGCCGGGUAUCGUUUGGGAACAAAUUACAUACUUUUCGCAUUAAUUAUAUUGUAUUCUUAUCAAAAUUCAGUCAUUUCAUUUAUGUCCGUGCGCCCGCCCGGCCCAGUCCGUGCAUCUGUUAAUCCGCUUUUCUUUGCAAUAUUUAUUACUUUUGCAGGACAUAGGUACUUGAAUGUCACAAGAGAUCAAGAGAACAUCAACAUCAUCAAC